This 253-nucleotide ribosomal RNA is filed under the name uncultured bacterium. Its description in RNAcentral is "partial 16S ribosomal RNA". It matches the Rfam family "Bacterial small subunit ribosomal RNA", at positions 524 to 776 of the family's 1533-position model. The record is from RNAcentral.
UACGUAGGGUGCAAACGUUAUCCGGAUUUACUGGGCGUAAAGAGCUCGUAGGUGGUUUUGAAAGUUGAAUAUUAAAUACCCUGGCUCAACUAGGGAAAAGUAUUCAAAACUCCAUAACUGGAGGUAUGCAGGGGAAGAUGGAACACACGGUGUAGCAGUGAUAUGCGUAGAUAUCGUGUGGAACGCCAAAGGUGAAAACAGUCUUCUGGGCAUUACCUGACACUGAGGAGCGAAAGCGUGGGGAGCGAACGGG